UACCACCGCUAAGCCCUUCCGGA
This 23-nucleotide non-coding RNA is filed under the name Arabidopsis thaliana (thale cress). The record is from RNAcentral. Lineage: Eukaryota; Viridiplantae; Streptophyta; Magnoliopsida; Brassicales; Brassicaceae.